GAUGAACGCUGGCGGCGUGCUUAACACAUGCAAGUCGAGCGAGUGAGUUCUUCGGAACGAUCUAGCGGCGGACGGGUGAGUAACACGUGGGCAACCUGCCUCAUAGAGGGGAAUAGCCUCCCGAAAGGGAGAUUAAUACCGCAUAAAAUUAUCGAGUGGCAUCACAUGGUAAUCAAAGGAGUAAUCCGCUAUGAGAUGGGCCCGCGGCGCAUUAGCUAGUUGGUGAGGUAACGGCUCCCCAAGGCGACGAUGCGUAGCCGACCUGAGAGGGUGAUCGGCCACAUUGGGACUGAGACACGGCCCAGACUCCUACGGGAGGCAGCAGUGGGGAAUAUUGCACAAUGGGGGAAACCCUGAUGCAGCAACGCCGCGUGAGUGAUGAGGGUCUUCGGAUUGUAAAGCUCUGUCUUUGGGGACGAUAAUGACGGUACCCAAGGAGGAAGCCACGGCUAACUACGUGCCAGCAGCCGCGGUAA
Molecule: ribosomal RNA, 476 nt
Filed under: uncultured bacterium
Lineage: Bacteria
Description: partial 16S ribosomal RNA
Rfam family: Bacterial small subunit ribosomal RNA
Source: RNAcentral